Molecule: long non-coding RNA, 4146 nt
Organism: Cyprinus carpio (common carp)
Lineage: Eukaryota; Metazoa; Chordata; Actinopteri; Cypriniformes; Cyprinidae
Source: Ensembl
AGAUGAACCAAAUAUUCUGUAACAUAAAUGGAUUUGUGAAUUGUAUGCAUGCUGCAUGAAAACUUAAAAAAAACACUGCAUGAGAAAAAAAAAAGGGGGGGAACAGCUGAGGAAAAAUAUAUGACAUCAUUGUCGAGAAGCAAGGCCUUAGAGAGGGCUCGACUUUGUGAUUCUGAUUCUUAUCUGCCCACAACUUCUUAUUUUGGGAGGAAGCUUUUACAGCUUGGGUUUACAGCCCUCUCUCCCUCCAAAUGGGGCCGUGACUGAGUGUGAUGACCUCACCCUGUUUCUACUAAACUCUCUCUUACUCCUCUCCUCCCUCACCCCCUCUCACUUUCUCGCAGUCUGUGCGGGAGUUAGGCUGGAGUCACGUUCUCCACAGUUCCUGCAGUCUGCAUCUCAAAAGUGUCUCUGCAGUGUCUCAGACGACUUCAGAGUGGACCAUUUUAGCUUUGUUGACUGGCUUGGUUGACUUCAGACUUGAAUUUGAAUGGAUUUACCAGAAGAAGGAUUCUUUUAAACAAUGAGAAUGAUGUUUUAUUGUUUUAUGGUUACUUGUUCCUCAAUCAGAUGAUUAAAGCAAGAACAGCAAUGAAGAGGAUCCAACCUUUUACUAUUGGGACCAAGUUAUCUGUCCCCUCCGAAAACAAAUGUCUGGAUUUUGUGGGCAACAUCCUUCCUGUACCGGUUCUGGACUGCUGUGAACUAAAAAACAACUCUAACAAUGACGAUUCUCCUUUCCACGAGGAGAGAUUGUCCACAUCUACACCCGUGGAAGCACUUUCAGAUGAUAUUAAAGAGGAAGAUGACAGGGACUCUGCGUCCCCAUCAGCUUCUUCCAGAUCCAUCAGGAAGAUUGCUAUGUGUGCAAAUGUUGAAAGCCAGACUGUCAGUGACUUUAAUGUGACAAACCAUGAGACAAAUAAGCCAAGUACUUCUACUGAAAAGCUGUUUCUUGUUGAGGAAAGAUUGACUGACAAGUCCGGUGCACAGCUGGAGACUGAUCCAUAUACUAAAGGAAGGAAGAUAAAGAACCUUCAUUACGACUAUAGCAUGCCAACUUUCCCACAUGAUCAACCAGAGGACGCGUCUCAGAGCCAAAGGAGAGACCUCAAAGACUUUGAGAACUCUCUCAUCCAACUGACGACAAGUCUGGACUUGAUGCAGGAGGAACCAGAAAAACCUCUUCAGAAGAAGACAGAUGCUGUAGAUUUAGGAUUGGAAAUGUUUAGAAGAAGACAAAGCCCGGGGGACCACGUUGACAAAUCGUGGCUAAAGUUGAGGUCACUCCUGAGGGACUAUCAUCAGGAUCUCAUGUUGGCUUUAGACGUCUCAUCAUUUUACCAACAAGCCGACAGCAUUAUUGGCGCCAUCAACAGCAAGAGGAACUGUGUACUGGUGGACGACAUCCCAAAAAGUGACAAAGAGACCAUAGAAAUUGCCUGUCAGAUAAGUAUGCUGAAUGAGUCUGUGUCUCGGCUGUCAACUCUCCACCCAACCCUGGCCAGAAGAGUUACAUGCAAACAGGCCGAGGUGAAGGAGAACUGGGCACUUCUCCAGGAGUUUCUCCGGAACCAGAAGACAGAUGUUUCUUCAAAACGCCCGUCAGCGUUACCCGCUGAUCCUCUAACCACAUGCCCUGACUCACAGAGCUUUGCUAGAAAUGAGGGUCACAGCAUAAUGGGAAAAGACGUCAAAGAAGAGCAAAACCGUCUCCGAGGAUUUGAGUGCUCUCAAGGCCUGUGGACCCAUAGGAUGUGGAGUCCGGUUGAGGAAUGUUCUAUAGGGAGUCAAGUCUCACUGUUGGAAAGCAGCUGUUCCAAGCUGGACAACAUCUCAGAAAAGCAGGACAGGAAGAGCUGUAUCGACCAGAUGGCUCAAACAACCCCUGUUUCCUCUCAAGAAUGUCUCAUACCCAAUAAGCUGUUGAAAGAAUCGACGACAUCCACUGGAAUGAAUGAAGAGCAUGACUGCUCAAAGCAAAGACAAGACCACAAAAUAGAGGAGCUCCUAAGCCAGGUGGAGGUCCUUUGGGAUGCUCUGCAAAAGAAAUAUGGAGAGAACAAUAAGACUGAACCGGCGGAAAAAGAACAAUCUGGAGAUGAAGCUGCACAGAUGGUUUCAGAUCUUACAGUUUCAAACAAUCUCCUGGAAAAAGUAGAGGAAGGCAGUUCAGGAAUGCUUGAAAAGUUCCUUGAACUUCUUGAUCCCAGUGGUUAUCACAAAAUAAAUCAGGAUGUUCCUGGAUCUCUGCAUAGGCAAGAAAUGGCUGAGGCUGCAGAAAUGUCACUAAAUCUACUGAGUCAACAAACUGAACAAGAAAGAUCUCAGAAGCAGGACCAGAUCACUAAUGAGCUACAAAGCUUGCUAUCUACUCUUACACUGCGGAUAAACCAGCACCUCUGCCGCUGUGCUGAGCUCAGUAUGGACCUCCUGGACAUAGAAACAGAUAUGACUGUGCUUUGUGACUCGGACCUCAGCGGUCUGGAGGGGCUACAGGAGCAGCAGGAUGACCUAGAGGCUCAUUAUAAUAUCAUUGAAGGAGAGGUGAGAGAAAUGGAGAGACUAGACAGUCAGCUAAAGGUUCCUUCCCCAGAACAGAGAGACCUUCUCAGGGAAGAGGUUCAGGCAAUCCUGCAGGCUUGGGAGGAAGUAGGCCGCAACAUGGCUGAAAACAGAAGCCGUCUGGAGAAGUUCCACCAGAUUCAGGACUACUUCGAAAACUAUCUUGCCAUGAUUACGUGGACAGAGAACACCAGAUCCUGUAUCCUUGCCGGUGGCUCUGCUUGGAGAGAGAGUGAAGUUGCAGAGAUUGAUCACAGCAUUGAAACCAAGCUGGAUGAGUUUAGCAAACUGGCUGCAGCUGGUCAAAUGCUUAUGCAAGAUGAGAGUCAGUUUAGAGACAUUAUCAAGGAGAGAACAGAUGAGUUGCAAAGCAUGCUGGGAUGGAUCCAGGUGAACUGGCACGUUCAAAGAGAGCAGCUUAAAAGAAACCAGAAUGGGAGACCAGAGUCAACAAACGAUCCUGUUCAACAGCAGGCUAUACCUUUCAAAAAACCUUCUGAUGGUCUUUGCAUUAUAAAUGGAGAGGUCAAAGGAAGUACUGCUGAAACACAGCCCUCUCAAAACAACUUCGAGCAACAGAAUGGGAGGCAUGAUGUGUCCAGUGUUGUUAGUCAGGAGUCAUGCCUUUCAAAGACAUCCCUAGGCUCUAGCAUCUGUCUCAUUUUGAGCUUUGAUGACCAGUCUUCAGGCAUUAACCAAGUGACAAAGCAAUGGUCCCCCAACAAUAAUGAAAUACUUGAAGAGUCAGCAAGCAGCAUUCAGGCAGACAGCUGUCAAUCACAGGACACAACCUCAAUGCAAAUACAACAGCCACAAGAAAUUCUCCAGGAAAGAUGGCCGAAUGAAUCAGUCAAGAGUAAAGACACCAAACCCAAGUCAUCUUGUGUGAAUCUUGCACAGCUGCAAAUCAAAAACCAAGGAGAACCAGACCAGUCACCAAGCAAAGAAGAAAUAUCCAACCAGUUGUCCACAUAUAACACUGAAUCAUCAUUUUGCAAUCACCUACCAGAUAAUCUGCAGUCCAACAACAACCAAACAUAUCUGCAACCAUCACCAGAUGUCGAUCAGAUGCAAAAUCCUGAGAAUCAAGCACAAAAAACUCAGUCACAAAGCUACAGCCCGAACCGGAUGCAAAAAUCUGCACACAACAAUAUAGAAUCAAACCAAAACCAAAGUGACGACCACCUGCGGUCUGAAGUCACUCAUAGAGUGUUCACGUAUUUGCACGUCUCGGAUAGUUACAGAUCAACAGGGCAAGUCUUGGAGGUCACAUCCCCAACACAUGCAGCAGAAAAUGUCACACCUGAGAGGAGAACGGUUUAUAAUCACAACAGAUUCAAGCCAAGCUCUUUGUUCAAGCUGAAAGAGCCAAUCACAAAUGAGGAAGAAAACCAGCGAAGGAACUCUCUGCUUGGCUCUGUAGGAUCGGAAAGGUCUGGCAAACCUUCAAGCAUUUUCAGGCGAAGGUGUAACACUUGGCCAGAAGGAGAAGGGAGAGUGAAAGAAAGUCAAUCAAACUCCAAACUUCAGGAUCCACUCUUAGCUUCAGUCUUCCCAAGUGCUUUCACAACAGUGUCUUAG